AGAAACUAUGUAUUAUCCAUCU
This 22-nucleotide small nuclear RNA is filed under the name Arabidopsis thaliana (thale cress). RNAcentral's name for it is "snRNA_12176". The record is from RNAcentral. Lineage: Eukaryota; Viridiplantae; Streptophyta; Magnoliopsida; Brassicales; Brassicaceae.